This is a long non-coding RNA of Gadus macrocephalus (Pacific cod), 928 nucleotides long. RefSeq lists it as uncharacterized. The record is from RefSeq and is a predicted model, not a curated record. Lineage: Eukaryota; Metazoa; Chordata; Actinopteri; Gadiformes; Gadidae. The transcript is spliced from 2 exons.
UUACACUAAUGCAUAACGACAUCUAUUAUCCUGCAGCAUGUUCCUUUGUGAAUUAAAAACAUAAAAUAUCACAUAACAUCACAUGACACAAUCACUCAAGCUCAUAAUGAGUAUAAAUAUAAAUAUGUCGUUUUAAAACAUCCCAUAACAUCACAUGAAAUACUCACUCAAGCACAUAAUGGUAUAUAUAUAUAUAUAUAUAUAUUAUAAUUUGUUGGUAUAUAUUAUGUAAAUGUAUAAGUACUGAACUACCAAUUAUGCUUCAACUGCACCUCUUCCCACACCAAGAGUGAGGGAGGAGUUUGACAGGAGCAGCUUACAAUCUUGGGCUCCUCUCACUGAGAAGCAGAAUUCACCCAGCGUUGGACGCUUCACCCAGUUAUAGGGAUGGUGAGCUGGUGUGACAGGCUCCAACGGUCCGUGUGGAACUCCACUGGGCCUGCUUCUGGAGUACCGGGGGCACCACUGCACUCUGAGAACAGCUGGUGCUGUCGUCUCCAAUGAGCAGAAGGCAUGGAGACCAGUCUCUGAAGCAUGGCCGCCGAGCGGUCUCGAGGGUGAUGGUCUCUGACCUCCUCUAAAAGGUUGGACAUGGAAGGCACGGAGGUGACGUCCAACUCCUCCACUUGCAAUAUGUCGAGAUCACAGCAGUCCAGCACCAGAGUGAAGUCCCCAUCAUCGCUUGUGCUUUCCAGUGAUGUUCCUACAGAUAAAGGGCUGGUUUCUGGUAUUGGUCCAGCCCUUGUGCCGCAGUUAGACAUAGAUGCUGAUUCAUUCACCGUGCUUUCUCCGGACACCAAAGCCUCAGAUGAAUCCAUGUAUCCUUCGCACGGUGACCUGGCCAUGUCAGUCUGUCGCAACCCGACUCCAGCUCCAUCUGUAGCUUCUACAACAGGUUCCAGGAAUAAAGCUAUGCUACCAGCGAUAA